UGUUAUUUAGUUUAUAUUAGAACAUUUAAUUUGCGUUUAAGAAGAGUUUAUCAAUAACAA
This 60-nucleotide transfer RNA is filed under the name Whitmania laevis. Its description in RNAcentral is "tRNA-Ala". Lineage: Eukaryota; Metazoa; Annelida; Clitellata; Hirudinida; Haemopidae. The record is from RNAcentral.